RNAcentral lists this ribosomal RNA (366 nucleotides) under uncultured eukaryote. RNAcentral describes it as "partial 18S ribosomal RNA". It matches the Rfam family "Eukaryotic small subunit ribosomal RNA", at positions 592 to 976 of the family's 1831-position model. The record is from RNAcentral.
CAAUAGCGUAUAUUAAAGUUGUUGCAGUUAAAAAGCUCGUAGUUGAAUUUCUGGUGGGCGCGCCGGUCUUCCAAGUGUUGUACUGGGCGCAGUCCGCCAUCCUUGUGGAGAGGGCUCGCAUUGAGUUGCGUGUCGGAUCUGCAUCAUUUACUGUGAAAAAAUUAGAGUGUUUAAAGCAGGCUGUCGCUUGAAUACAUUAGCAUGGAAUAAUAAGAUAGGACUUCGGUCUAUUUUGUUGGUUGCGAACCGAGGUAAUGAUUAAUAGGGAUAGUUGGGGGUAUUCAUAUUUAAUUGUCAGAGGUGAAAUUCUUGGAUUUAUGAAAGAUGAACAACUGCGAAAGCAUUUACCAAGGAUGUUUNCAUUAG